This 552-nucleotide long non-coding RNA is filed under the name Numida meleagris (helmeted guineafowl). RNAcentral's name for it is "lncRNA (ENSNMEG00000008959.1)". The record is from RNAcentral. Lineage: Eukaryota; Metazoa; Chordata; Aves; Galliformes; Numididae.
AAAGAAGGAAGGGAAGGAAAAAAAUCCGGAAGAACCCAGAACCCAUAAAUUUCUCCUAUCAAAUCACUCAGAAGUAAAGGCACCCAACAUAUUGAUAACCUCCUUCACAAAUAUUUCCAUUCUCUUUGUAGGCCCUUGACCUUCUAUCUUCUACCUAAAAUUCAGCUGAGUUGGGGUUGUGAAACCUGAGUAUAGAAGAGCCUCUUUUUUUUACAGCUAUGACAAGACUCAGCUCUUCUGAGUGUACAGUUCUCCCCUUUGGAACCAGUGAGAUAAGCAGCCCAGAAGAAAAGCAGGACUAAAACUCAGUGAUUGACAACACCGCCUGCAUUGUAGACUUGAGUGCACAUGCCUGGAAGACGCUUACCUUCCCCUUAACCACAGCUCUCUAUGAACGUGAUCAAGUCCAAUAACCAUGGCUUAGUUCCAAGAUUUUACCUCCUUAUAUCCCUGAAACACAACAUGUACACAGGACGCCACGUAUACCCAGUGGAGUUUGAUAAAAGAAUCUCAGUAUCACUCUCUUACUGUGUAAGUUUCUCCAGAAAAGAA